Molecule: small nuclear RNA, 104 nt
Organism: Suncus etruscus (white-toothed pygmy shrew)
Lineage: Eukaryota; Metazoa; Chordata; Mammalia; Eulipotyphla; Soricidae
Source: RefSeq, a predicted model, not a curated record
GUGCUCGCUUUGGCAGCACAUAUACUAAAAUUGGAACAAUACAAAGAUUAGCAUGGCUCCUGCACAAGGAUGACACUCACAUUCAUGAAGCGUUUCAUAUUUUU